This is a non-coding RNA of Notechis scutatus (mainland tiger snake), 1083 nucleotides long. NCBI's taxonomy places the organism in Eukaryota, Metazoa, Chordata, Lepidosauria, Squamata, Elapidae. The record is from RefSeq and is a predicted model, not a curated record.
CUCCUUAAUUCUAGACCGGGUCUCCCUUGAUGAACUUCCAUCCGUUGCUUCUUGCCCCGCCUUCAGGUGAUAUGGAGAAUAAAUUGAGCCCCUCUUUCAUGUAACAGCCUUUCAGAUAUUGGAAGAAGACUAUCAUAUCCAAACCUUCUCUUCAUUAGGCUAUACAUAUCUAGGUCACUUAGCCACUACAUUGUACAAUGUAGUAGUAGACUACAAUUUUUAUUGUCCAUAUUUGUUUUUUGUUUUUUAAAUAGCCAUUUUGUCCAAGUGAAAAAUCCUGGAAGCUCUGCCUUCGAGCUGAACUCACCUGAGAAGCAUCUUGCAUCAGGCUUCUUCAAGUAUCUUGUAUUUGUAUACAAACCUAGUAGUGAAAUGGGCGUUUUCUGUUCAUGUGGCUCCAAGUCCUGGACAGAGCUUUCAUUCCGGCCCCAAAAACUCUUUAAAGUUCCCAUUACACUGCCUGGACAAGCAAGGUCCAGGAAAAGAAGUGAGCUUUUUGAGAUUAACCAUAUUCUUCUAGCAGCUAUUUUAUGAAAGUGUUCAUGAAAUCUUUCAAGUAUUUUUGCUGGUCCCUUUUGAUGUUGCUAUAUCCCAUCCACACACCCCAUUAAAAAAAACUGAUAAUGUUUAAAAGACAAUAUUUACUCUAUGUUUGGAAGAUAAAAGUAUUGAUCAAAUUUACUAAUGUAAGACUUAUUGAUGAACAAUAUUUUAUCACUGUAACAAUGAAAAAAGUGCAUUCAGAAUUAAUAUAUGCACUCAGUGUGUGAUUAUGAUACCUAUUUGACUUUAUAGCCUGGCACUUACAAUUAUGGUCUUUGUGAAUUAUGGUGGAGGAAAAUAUUGGUUCUUCAAGCAUCAGAGCUGGAAUGGCUUAACAAUAGCAGACCUCGUUUUUCCAUGGUUUGUAUUUAUUAUGGGCACCUCUGUUUCAUUGUCUCUCAGUGCUAUGUUGAGACGGGGUUGUUCCAAAUGGCAGUUGCUGGGCAAAAUCUUAUGGAGAAGUCUCCUCCUGUUUUUAAUAGGACUCAUAGUUAUAAACCCAAAUUAUUGCCUUGGACCACGUAAGUGCUAAGAGAUUUA